Molecule: ribosomal RNA, 1426 nt
Filed under: uncultured organism
Description: SSU rRNA
Rfam family: Bacterial small subunit ribosomal RNA
Source: RNAcentral
GCGCUAGCGACAGGCUUAACACAUGCAAGUCGAGCCUUAGCACAGGUAGCAAUACCGGGUGGCGACCGGCGCACGGGUGAGUAACGCGUAUGCAACUUGCCUAUCAGAGGGGGAUAACCCGGCGAAAGUCGGACUAAUACCGCAUGAAGCAGGGAUCCCGCAUGGGAAUAUUUGCUAAAGAUUCAUCGCUGAUAGAUAGGCAUGCGUUCCAUUAGGCAGUUGGCGGGGUAACGGCCCACCAAACCGACGAUGGAUAGGGGUUCUGAGAGGAAGGUCCCCCACAUUGGUACUGAGACACGGACCAAACUCCUACGGGAGGCAGCAGUGAGGAAUAUUGGUCAAUGGCCGAGAGGCUGAACCAGCCAAGUCGCGUGAGGGAUGAAGGUUCUAUGGAUCGUAAACCUCUUUUAUAAGGGAAUAAAGUGCGGGACGUGUCCCGUUUUGUAUGUACCUUAUGAAUAAGGAUCGGCUAACUCCGUGCCAGCAGCCGCGGUAAUACGGAGGAUCCGAGCGUUAUCCGGAUUUAUUGGGUUUAAAGGGUGCGUAGGCGGCCUUUUAAGUCAGCGGUGAAAGUCUGUGGCUCAACCAUAGAAUUGCCGUUGAAACUGGGGGGCUUGAGUAUGUUUGAGGCAGGCGGAAUGCGUGGUGUAGCGGUGAAAUGCAUAGAUAUCACGCAGAACCCCGAUUGCGAAGGCAGCCUGCCAAGCCAUGACUGACGCUGAUGCACGGAAGCGUGGGGAUCAAACAGGAUUAGAUACCCUGGUAGUCCACGCAGUAAACGAUGAUCACUAGCUGUUUGCGAUACACUGUAAGCGGCACAGCGAAAGCGUUAAGUGAUCCACCUGGGGAGUACGCCGGCAACGGUGAAACUCAAAGGAAUUGACGGGGGCCCGCACAAGCGGAGGAACAUGUGGUUUAAUUCGAUGAUACGCGAGGAACCUUACCCGGGUUUGAACGCAUUCGGACCGAGGUGGAAACACCUUUUCUAGCAAUAGCCGUUUGCGAGGUGCUGCAUGGUUGUCGUCAGCUCGUGCCGUGAGGUGUCGGCUUAAGUGCCAUAACGAGCGCAACCCUUGCCACUAGUUACUAACAGGUAAAGCUGAGGACUCUGGUGGGACUGCCAGCGUAAGCUGCGAGGAAGGCGGGGAUGACGUCAAAUCAGCACGGCCCUUACAUCCGGGGCGACACACGUGUUACAAUGGCGUGGACAAAGGGAAGCCACCUGGCGACAGGGAGCGAAUCCCCAAACCACGUCUCAGUUCGGAUCGGAGUCUGCAACCCGACUCCGUGAAGCUGGAUUCGCUAGUAAUCGCGCAUCAGCCAUGGCGCGGUGAAUACGUUCCCGGGCCUUGUACACACCGCCCGUCAAGCCAUGGGAGCCGGGGGUACCUGAAGUCCGUAACCGCGAGGAUCGGCCUAGGGUAAA